RNAcentral lists this ribosomal RNA (686 nucleotides) under uncultured Bacteroidota bacterium. Its description in RNAcentral is "bacterial SSU rRNA". It matches the Rfam family "Bacterial small subunit ribosomal RNA", at positions 62 to 749 of the family's 1533-position model. Lineage: Bacteria; Pseudomonadati; Bacteroidota. The record is from RNAcentral.
UCGAGGGGUAUAGGUUUUCGGACCUAGAGACCGGCGCACGGGUGCGUAACGCGUAUGCAAUCUACCUUUCACAGAGGGAUAGCCCAGAGAAAUUUGGAUUAAUACCUCAUAGUAUAACGACUCGGCAUCGAGAUGUUAUUAAAGUCACAACGGUGAAAGAUGAGCAUGCGUCCCAUUAGCUAGUUGGUAAGGUAACGGCUUACCAAGGCUACGAUGGGUAGGGGUCCUGAGAGGGAGAUCCCCCACACUGGUACUGAGACACGGACCAGACUCCUACGGGAGGCAGCAGUGAGGAAUAUUGGUCAAUGGACGCAAGUCUGAACCAGCCAUGCCGCGUGCAGGAUGACGGCCCUAUGGAUUGUAAACUGCUUUUGUACAGGAAGAAACAGUUCUACGUGUAGAACCUUGACGGUACUGUAAGAAUAAGGAUCGGCUAACUCCGUGCCAGCAGCCGCGGUAAUACGGAGGAUCCAAGCGUUAUCCGGAAUCAUUGGGUUUAAAGGGUCCGUAGGCGGUUUAGUAAGUCAGUGGUGAAAGCCCAUCGCUCAACGGUGGAACGGCCAUUGAUACUGCUAAACUUGAAUUAUUAGGAAGUAACUAGAAUAUGUAGUGUAGCGGUGAAAUGCUUAGAGAUUACAUGGAAUACCAAUUGCGAAGGCGGGUUACUACUAAUGGAUUGACGCUGA